RNAcentral lists this long non-coding RNA (436 nucleotides) under Parus major (Great Tit). Its description in RNAcentral is "lncRNA (ENSPMJG00000006300.1)". The record is from RNAcentral. Lineage: Eukaryota; Metazoa; Chordata; Aves; Passeriformes; Paridae.
CAAACCUAACCCAACCCCAACCCCAAACCCAGCCCCAAACCCAAAUCUAAACCCCAACCCCAGUCGCUGUGGGGCACAUCCAGCCCCCUCUGGACACUUCCAUCCCCAGGGACCCUUCCCUGCCCCUUCUCCCCUCAGGGUUUGGGAGGUUCUGGACGCUCCUGGCCCUGCCCAGGCCCUCACCCAGCACCGAGCCCGGGCUACUCUCGUUCUCCCAAACGCUGGCACAGCCCUGGAGCUGCGGAGAUUCGCCUUAAAACAGGGGUCACUGCUGAGGGACCCGAAUUCCAGGAUGGGAGCUGCAUCCUCAGCCUCGUGUCAGGAAGGUGCUGCAGGAGAGCUCCAGCCCCAGCAGCAGCAGAUGCUGGGGAAGCAAACCGGACAAAGGGAAGGCCGGGAGAGGGCAGGGCCGCCCGCCGCGGAGCCCAGAUGGAGC